GAUGGAAAAACCAACAAGCUACGACUUCAAAGCUUACCUUAUUUAGAAAAAGAGAAAGGGCUUUUUUUUUUAUAGAUGUUGAGGUUGAGUAAGGGGGGCGGACCAUGAAGAGCGAAGCGAGCCGCGCUAGCCUAGAAAUGUUUCUCAGUAGCAAGCUAUGGUCUAACAACCCCCUAACUUAGGUUGGGGCAAAAACUCCAAAAUCUAAAAUGUUAGUUAGGGUUCCUUUCCUUUUAGGCAAGCUACUUCGUUCCAAACCUUUCUUUAAUAAUAAGGUAAGCUUUCAAGCCGCCGCCAUUUAAAGGAGCGGGCACAGUGAAUUGUAAUUGUGAAAAGAUUGGAAGAUCUGGCUAAAGAAGGUGAUAGCCUUGUAGAUUCGUUCCCAUGGUUUGAUCUUUCCCAGUAAAAUGCGGCGUGUUCAAAUUCUGAUUGCUUUUGUGAGAAAAGGGGACCACCCUCUAAGCCUAAGUAUUCCUUAAUGACUGAUAACAUACAUGUACCGUGAGGGUAAGGUGAAAAGAACCCUAUUUAGGGAGUGCAAUAAAGAACCUAAGAUCCUAUGCGAAUGAUCAGUCAAAGGAGCGGAGCUUACAACCUUUACUUUAUGUAAAGCGCACUCACUCUAACGGCAUACCUUUUGCAUGAUGGGUCAGUGAGGAAAUAGGAACAACAACUUAAGACAUUAGGUGUAGGCUCUUUCCAGAGGUAGAAUCUUCUAGUUCUUCCUAUUUGACCCAAAACCGAUCGAUCUAGCCAUGAGUAAGUUGAAGAGAGCUCUAACAGGCCUUGGAGGACCGAACCCACGUAUGUAGAAAAAUACGGGGAUGACUGUGGCUAGGGGUGAAAGGCCAACUAAGAUCGGAUAUAGUUAGUUUUCUGCAAAAUCUAUUUUUGUAGAGCGUAUGAUGUCGAUAGCCCGAGGUAGAGAACUUAAUGGUCUAGGUUGGCCUCAUUUUGCCUUACCUACCCCAGGGAAACUCCAAAUACAGGCCUUGAUCAUUUGUACAGAUAGACUUUUUUGGUGCUAAGAUCCAAAGUCGAGAGAAAAAUAGCCCAGAUCGUACACUAAGGUCCCUAAGCAAUUACUUAGUAGAAAAAGAAGUUAUCGAGCGAUGACAACCAGGAGGUGCGCUUGGAAGUAACCAUCCUUUGAAGAAAGAGUAAUAGCUCACUGGUCUAGCUCCAUGGCACCAAAAAUGUAUCAGGGCUUAAGUGAUUCACUAAAGCGACGAGACCUUGAAAGUUGUUUUUUCAAGUGUCAGUAGCGGAACGUUUUGUCAAUCAGGGAAGGUUUUUUGUGAAAAGACCUGGACAUAUUAGAAGUGAGAAUGCUGACAUGAGUAACGAAAAAUCCUGUGAAAAAUACGAUCGCCUGCUAGUGGAAGGUUUUCCGCAGAGUGAAUCGGCCCCUAAGGAACCCCCGAAAGGGCCUAGUCCGAUGGGUACACAAAAGUGAUGAAGUUGCUUUGACUACAGAACCAUGCCUGUCUGUUGGAGUGAAUUGGAUGAUCAGGACGAGGGCUGCCCCUUUUUUCCCUUACUCUUCUUUCCCUAAUAUGAACUUUGAGUCAUCAAAGCCUUUCUGACUCGGCCUGGCUCGGUCGCCCUAUGCGACUGGCGCUUCAAAAGGCAAAACUCUUAGUCAUAGUUUGGCGACCUAUCUUCAGUAGGGGACUUUAGUCUUUUGAUUAGAGUAGAGGUCGUGAGAGAGCAGAGCAUACCGCCCUACCAUNUUGAUUAGAGUAGGGGUCGCGAGAGAGCAGAGCGUACCGCCCUGCCAUAGUCACGAGUCUGUUUAUAGUCGCGACUGUUGUCAUAGUCAACAAGGUUGAAACUUCCAGGAAAAAACUUCGAAUUGGGAGGGCGAUCCUCCCGGUGAACUGACCGUACCCCAAACCGACACAGGUGAACAAGUAGAGUAUACUAGGGCGCUUGAGAGAACCAUGUCGAAGGAACUCGGCAAAAUGACCCCGUAACUUCGGGAGAAGGGGUGCUCUCCUAUCUUUUGAUUAGGAAAGCGGCACAUACAAGGGGGUAGCGACUGUUUAUUAAAAACACAGGACUCUGCUAAGUGGUAACACGAUGUAUAGAGUCUGACACCUGCCCGGUGCUGGAAGGUCGGAAGGAGAAGUGUUAUAAGCUUUGAAUGGAAGCCCCGGUAAAUAGCGACAGUAACUCUAACUAUCCUAAGGUAUCAAAAUUCCUUGUCGCUUAAGUAGUGACCUGCACAAAUGGUGUAACGACUGCCCCGCUGUCUCCUAUAUGGACCCGAUGAAAUUGAAUUCUUCGUUAAGAUGCGGAGUACCAAUGGCUAGACGAUAAUACCCCAUGUACCUUAAUUAUAGCUUUGCAGUGACAACCUUAAUCGAAUAUGUAAGAUAGGUGAGAGGUGGUGACAAACAAUGACCAAUCCUGAAAGACCACUCUUUCAUCUAAGGAUACCUAACCAUCGCACCAAUCAUUUUGGGGACGGAGGGACAUUGCGAGGUGGGUAGUUUAUAUGGGGCGGAUGCCUCCUAAAGAGUAAUAGAGGUGUGCGAAGGUAGGCUCAAGCUAAGAUUCUGCUCGUGAGCGUAAUGGUAUAAGCCUGCCUGACUGUGAGACCGACUAGUAGAACAGAGAUGAAAGUCGGCUAUAAUGAUCUGGAAGUCCCGUGUGGAAGGGCUCUCGCUCAAUGGAUCAAAGGUACACCAGGGAUAACAGGAUGAUGACUCCCAAGAGCUCUUAUCGACGGAUUCGUUUGAAACUUGAUGUCGACUUAUCAUAUUCUAGGGUUAAAGAAGAUCCCAAGGGUUUAGUUGUUCUUCGAUUCAAGUAGUACGUGAGUUGGGUUUAGAAUGUCGUGAGACAGUUCGAUUCCUAUCUACCGUUGGUGUUAAAGAGAGAACUAUGAGGAUCCUACCCUAGUAUGAGAGGACUGGAUUGGGCUAACCUAUGGUGUACCAGUUGUUAUGCCAAUAGCAGAGCCAGGCAGCUAAGUUGGUAUGGAAGAACUAUUGCACCGCGGGAAAUCCUUCUCUAUAUAAGUUCUCGAAUGAGGUUUUUGAACAGAACUUUGAUAGGCGAGAGGUGUAAGUACCGCGAGGUGUGAAGCGAUCUCGUACUAAAUGAAACAACUUUCACU
RNAcentral lists this ribosomal RNA (3124 nucleotides) under Capsicum chinense (habanero). RNAcentral describes it as "bacterial LSU rRNA". It matches the Rfam family "Bacterial large subunit ribosomal RNA". Lineage: Eukaryota; Viridiplantae; Streptophyta; Magnoliopsida; Solanales; Solanaceae. The record is from RNAcentral.